RNAcentral lists this ribosomal RNA (494 nucleotides) under uncultured microorganism. RNAcentral describes it as "bacterial SSU rRNA". It matches the Rfam family "Bacterial small subunit ribosomal RNA", at positions 9 to 484 of the family's 1533-position model. The record is from RNAcentral.
GAGUUUGAUCGUGGCUCAGGAUGGACGCUGGCGGCGUGCCUAAUACAUGCAAGUCGAGCGAACGGACGAGAAGCUUGCUUCUCUGAUGUUAGCGGCGGACGGGUGAGUAACACGUGGAUAACCUACCUAUAAGACUGGGAUAACUUCGGGAAACCGGAGCUAAUACCGGAUAAUAUUUUGAACCGCAUGGUUCAAAAGUGAAAGACGGUCUUGCUGUCACUUAUAGAUGGAUCCGCGCUGCAUUAGCUAGUUGGUAAGGUAACGGCUUACCAAGGCAACGAUGCAUAGCCGACCUGAGAGGGUGAUCGGCCACACUGGAACUGAGACACGGUCCAGACUCCUACGGGAGGCAGCAGUAGGGAAUCUUCCGCAAUGGGCGAAAGCCUGACGGAGCAACGCCGCGUGAGUGAUGAAGGUCUUCGGAUCGUAAAACUCUGUUAUUAGGGAAGAACAUAUGUGUAAGUAACUAGUGCACAUCUUGACGGUACCGUAAU